CGUACACUCCUACGGGAGGCAGCAGUGGGGAAUAUUGGACAAUGGGCGCAAGCCUGAUCCAGCCAUGCCGCGUGAGUGAUGAAGGCCCUAGGGUUGUAAAGCUCUUUCACCGGUGAAGAUAAUGACGGUAACCGGAGAAGAAGCCCCGGCUAACUUCGUGCCAGCAGCCGCGGUAAUACGAAGGGGGCUAGCGUUGUUCGGAUUUACUGGGCGUAAAGCGCACGUAGGCGGACUAUUAAGUCAGGGGUGAAAUCCCGGGGCUCAACCCCGGAACUGCCUUUGAUACUGGUAGUCUUGAGUUCGAGAGAGGUGAGUGGAAUUCCGAGUGUAGAGGUGAAAUUCGUAGAUAUUCGGAGGAACACCAGUGGCGAAGGCGGCUCACUGGCUCGAUACUGACGCUGAGGUGCGAAAGCGUGGGGAGCAAACAGGAUUAGAAACCCCAGUAGUCCCAUG
Molecule: ribosomal RNA, 453 nt
Filed under: uncultured organism
Description: partial 16S ribosomal RNA
Rfam family: Bacterial small subunit ribosomal RNA
Source: RNAcentral